Molecule: unclassified non-coding RNA, 282 nt
Filed under: Fusarium sp.
Lineage: Eukaryota; Fungi; Ascomycota; Sordariomycetes; Hypocreales; Nectriaceae
Description: partial contains 5.8S ribosomal RNA, internal transcribed spacer 2, and large subunit ribosomal RNA
Rfam family: 5.8S ribosomal RNA (bases 1-71)
Source: RNAcentral
GUGAGUCAUCGAAUCUUUGAACGCACAUUGCGCCCGCCAGUAUUCUGGCGGGCAUGCCUGUUCGAGCGUCAUUUCAACCCUCAAGCCCAGCUUGGUGUUGGGAGCUGUCGUCAAGACACUCCCCAAAUUGAUUGGCGGUCACGUCGAGCUUCCAUAGCGUAGUAAUUUACACAUCGUUACUGGUAAUCGUCGCGGCCACGCCGUUAAACCCCAACUUCUGAAUGUUGACCUCGGAUCAGGUAGGAAUACCCGCUGAACUUAAGCAUAUCAAUAAGCGGAGGA